Molecule: ribosomal RNA, 253 nt
Filed under: uncultured bacterium
Lineage: Bacteria
Description: partial 16S ribosomal RNA
Rfam family: Bacterial small subunit ribosomal RNA
Source: RNAcentral
UACGGAGGGGGCGAGCGUUGCUCGGAAUUAUUGGGCGUAAAGCGCACGUAGGCGGCAUUGCAAGUCGGAUGUGAAAUCCCUCGGCUUAACCAAGGAAGUGCAUCCGAAACUGCAGUGCUUGAGUACUUAAGAGGAUCGCGGAAUUCCCGGUGUAGAGGUGAAAUUCGUAGAUAUCGGGAGGAACACCAGUGGCGAAGGCGGCGAUCUGGGAAGAUACUGACGCUGAGGUGCGAAAGCGUGGGGAGCAAACAGG